Long non-coding RNA from Oncorhynchus tshawytscha (Chinook salmon), 3625 nucleotides. NCBI's taxonomy places the organism in Eukaryota, Metazoa, Chordata, Actinopteri, Salmoniformes, Salmonidae. The record is from Ensembl.
AGAUGGCAUAGCAGUUCAGACGUCUUUUGUCCUCGUCUUGUCGUGUCCCGUAUAUAUAUAUAUUUACACAUUUUUUCACAUACAUUUUUUACAUUUUCCAUCAACUCAUCUUCAAAACACUCUCCUACAACCCGCCUCACCAAUUUAUAUUUAUAAAAAAGUAUUAUUUACCUCAAAUCUGUAAUCCUCCAAGAAGCUAGCCAGAUACUCCAAGAAGCUAGCCAGAAGCUAGACAGGAGCUAGCCAGAAGCUAGCCCAGAAGCUAAUCCAGAAGCUAAUCAGAAGCUAGUUCAGAAGCUAGUUAGCUUCUUUACUGGCAAAUCAUUAGUAUUCAGCUAACCACGGUUUGUGGUCAUCAGCUAUCCUUUAGCUCGAAAAUCUAUCGCCAGUUUUGUACGGCGCAGCGCGGCUCGGAACGGAACAUACCGGACCAAUUUUUCUCUCCAUGUCCCUGGAUUUCAACCGAUCUCUGGACAUUCAUACCUGGUUCUCACAGCUAGCUAGCUGCUAUCCGUGUGACUAUCGGCUUUCAUCGAUACCGGAGCAAACAUCAAUUAUUCCGGAGCUAGCCAGCUCCGUCAAUCACUCCUGAGUUCCAUCAAUCACUCCUGGGCUGCAGUCACCUAUCCGGACCCGUUUUACUGCCUACGCGGAGCCCCACCGGGCCUUCACAACUGGACUGCCGACGUUAUCUACCCGAAGGAGUUAUCCGGCUGGCUCCUCCGUUGCGACGUUACCUGAACGCCCAUCUGCGGCCUGCUAACCGUUAGCUGUCUUAUCGGCUGCUAUCUGAAUAGACAAUCGGACAAUUUAUUUAUUUGUAUUAUUAUUGUGUUUUCUUCAUGGGCCUCUAUAACUAUAUCUAUUGUUUUUAUUUUUGUUGUUGUUGUGUGAUUUGGAUUAAUCCCCUCUGCCACACGGAACCCCACUAAUCUACUGUCGGAACGCAAGAGGUGGCUAAUAACAGACCUCCAUCCUAUGCUAGCUUGCUACCGAUGGCCUGGCUAGCUGUCUAAAUCGCUGUGACCCCCAACCAACCUCUCCACUCACCGGACCCUUUUGAUCACUCGACUAAGCAUGCCUCUCCUUAAUGUCAAUAUGCCUUGUCCAUUGCUGUUCUGGAAGAACAGAGGGUAGUGGCACUGUAGAAAAGGAGAGAGGGAGAGACCGAGAGAGAGGUGCUCUACACAUCAUCCACAGCUGACACAGACAGUUUCAUCCUCCAACCUUUGCUCAACGCUACACACAGACUGGACUAAGGGCUCCUACUCCCUCCAGAAGACUAUGGCCUCAACUGCUUUUUUUAAAGGCACAGGCCUCCUGCUCUUCUUACUACUGGGACUGCAGCCAUCGUCAUUUGUUUCAGGACAAAACACAACCUCGAGUUCCAAUACAACGACCGAUGCUACAACCACGGUGGCUGCAACAAUUGUGUUGUCAACUGACAUGAGUACUGUCUCUGCAACAGCUACGAUGACAGUUACCACAGCUCAAGCUACAAUGUCGUCUGCCAUUUCUUCUACGAAUGCUGCAAUGUCAUCUGCAGGGUUGGCAACUACGAUGGCAGCUACGAGGGUUCAAGGUGCUGCUAAUACGGCAACCUCCAAUUCGUCCAGUGUAGGUUCAAUGACAACAGCCAUGACCUCCACUUCAAGAAGUGUAACCAUUGACAACUCAAGGAAUACAGUGGCGGGUAGUGGAACCCCAAGCACGGACAAUACUACCUCAUGGGGCACCAGUGGCAUGACCAUGAUAUCCUGUCGCCAGUUCUCCUGUAACUACUCAGACUGCUACGAUGUGUACAUGAAUAGGACUUCUGUUUCAUGCAACGCUAAUAUCACCUUCUGUGAGCUGAAGAGACAGGAAGACAUGACUUACACCGGCGGCUGCAGUUCCUCCUGCAGGAAUGCCUGUGUCAAUAACACUCAGACCAACUGUACCACGGGAUGCUGCAACUCCACUGGCUGUCUUCGCUCCACCCUGGCCUCCAUGGUUCGCCCAAACACUACAACAGUGACUACAGUGAUGAUGACCACCACCACAACAACAGCAGCAGCCACCACUACAACUGCUAUGCCAACCAAUAAACUUAAGAAGUGCCAGAUGUUUCAGUGCACAGAGCAGAACUGUUACAAGACUUGGAUAACCAAAGACCCAAUGCCUUGUCCCCUCAACCAGCCCUACUGUGAGUUGAAAAAGAUGACAAUUGGUUCAACAACGAUGUGGAUGGGAGGCUGCAAUGCCGACUGCACAAGAAACACUUGGUGUACGACCACAACAGGUACAUGCCACCAAGAGUGCUGCAACACCUCCAUAACAUCCUGCCUCAAGCUGGAUGGGUCUCUGAACGUUCCUUCUUCUGCCACUAGAGGUCCUCACUUCCCUUUAGCAUUGAUCACUGCUGCUCUGCUGGUUUGUCUACUCAGCAUUGGUUCUCUGGUUUAAACUGGGUCGUGUUCAGUGGGUACAAGCGGAAGAAAAUGUAUUGAAAGAGGGAGGAAAUACCUUGACUUGUCCCUUGCAAAAUGGUUUAAAACAUUGCCUGUUGUGUGACUUAAUGAACAACCCUGAUGUGUUGACCCACUGAGCCAUUGCUUGAAUUUAAACAGUAGCAGUAGUAGUUAGCACGGCAAAACCUGGUUUCCAUUCCACAUGAAUACUAUACUGGUUGUAGGUCUAGCUUACUCUGUUUUUGUUUGUUUGCUUGUAUAUGAGGGGUAUUGAGAUACUGUAUGUGAGGGCUCAUAUGUGCUUUUGAGAGAUUUAGGUGAUUUAAUAAGUGAUAAUGAUUCCCCUAUGUGAGUCCAAACCAAAUGGGUUUAAAGGGAUUUAUUGAAGAAUAUGACGAUUAAUAUGGCUACAGAAAGCUAUUCAACCAUACCAUCAUACCCAUUUAUAAAUCAGUACUAUGUAAAACAUAAUACACAGAAGAUAGCUAUUUACGAUCAUAGAUGAGUGACCUAAUGUAUGGUACGGUAAUUAAUUCUGCUUUUUCUUAUUGAGAUUUCUGUAAGAUGAAGUUUCCAAUUAUGACAUUUUCAUAAAUAUCCUAUUUUUUUAGGCACAUUUUCUUUUGCCAGUGAUUUGCAUGAUGACUUCCAUGUUUUCUUAGAUUUUUCACUUGCAAAGACCUAGCCUGGUCUCAGAUCUGGUUGUGCUCUUGCUAACUCAAUUGCUCAUUGACAAACCAAAAAUGCCCAGUACAAGGAGUUGGCAUGAUAGCACAAACAGACUGGCACUCAGGCUAAAGACUUUCUCCAAUACAAAAGCAAACAUCUUUACAGAUAUUGCAUAAUAACUCAGUUAUUACCUAGUCCUCGCUAGCAUGUUGUGAAAGACAGAUUGACAAUUUAUGCACUUUUUAAAACAUAUAUAUUGGGUUAUAGAAGGUUUUUGAAAUAUUUGUACUGACGCAUUGAGGUGUAAUUCAUAUCUGUGAACGUAGUCAUAAACUGUACAACUGGAAUAUGUGUUUUACGCCUUUUAUUAUUUAGCUGUAUUCAUACUUAUAAUUUACCAUCAUAACAAUGUGGAAAUUGAUUCUUAAAAAUGGGUUAUAAAAUUGAGUUAUCAAAAUGUCUAAGCGUAUAUUUUUUGCAGUAGUUUCUUCGAAAGUUGGCAUACA